AACAUGAGGAAACGAAGAGAAAGUAUGAGGGUAAGGAGGGAUUCUGGCUGAGGUGAACUAAAAUGAUUCUUCCUGAAGGCAGGCCAGGGUGAUCAUGUGGAGAAUGUACAACCCAAUUGAAUAUCAAGGUCAUCAGAUAACCAGGAUGGGAGUUGCUAGCUGAACUGAUUGAGCAACCAGCACUCUUGACAAAAUUAGAAAAUGUAGAGAGCAAAGGAGAAGCCUCAAGGUCCGGACAUAGUUUAGAAGAGGAUUGAGAGGUGCCUGACUAGAGUUUGGGCAAAGGGAAAAUCUUUGUCAAGGGCCUGGCUUCAAUUAGGAUCCUGUCACAACCCCUAAAGGGGCAGCAGCAGAGAUUAGGAGAGCACACCAGCAUUCUUGGAAGGUGGUGAAAAUUCCUAUGUAAUUGCAUGUUUUCUCAAUGAAUUAUCAGUGAAAUAUGACAGGAGUUGUUGGUGGUUUUCGGAGUGCUCAUGUAGGUACAGGAGAGAGAAGAUACAGUUGUGGAGGUUACCCAAAGCUUGUCCAUCACUGGGAUGUUGCCAGAAGGGUAUGGAGGAAGGAGAAAGGAGCAGAGGAGGUGUGUUGAGUGGGAGAGUGUAUGGUUAUAUUCUGGGUUACGAAGAGUCUGGUGGAUGGCGAGUAUGAGGUGUGGUGGGUGAACUGGAGGCCUCCAUGAGGUUUAAGGCAGGAUGGAUGAUGGUGUUGGGGGCAAGUAAUGGACAUCAUAGAGCUGCAUGGUCUUGCCUGAAGCCCAGGGCAAGACUGUGAGUGGACUGUGAUGGCGAGACGAACAUCCAUGAAGUAGAGCUCAGAUGUGACGUGUGGGCACUGAGGUCUCCAGAAAGGACCAAAGGGAUGAUGACUGAGACAGACACUGAGUGUAUUACGUGAUAAGCGUGCUCACAGAGUGCGGUGCAUGAGGGGAUUGGUACAGGUGUCCAGCGAGGAGCGGUGGAGGAGGCUGGGACAGUCGGGCAGCAAGUCCUGGACAUCACAGGUCCCAUCCUCUAGGGCUACCGCGAAGUAAACUGGCAGUCUGACGCCGAAGUGCAGACUGGCAACGACGUCACUCGGCACCGACGCGCAGGCCCAGAACCCUCCAAUCAGCGUGUAGUCCCGCCCGCACGCUCGCGUUUUUCCUGUGGCGCGGGGACUUGGCUGCUGUUGCUAUGGUUCCGAGGGUGGGACCAGGGAAGGCUUCCGCGCAGAGGACGGGUCGCCGGAGGGCCAGCGGCCGGUACCGAGCCAGCAUCUGGUCGGAGCUUUCAUCCUGCUGGACGUCCCUAGCCGACAUCUUCGAGCUCUCUGCAGAAAAGCUGCGGAAAAGAAGGCUUUUCCUCUGGGAAACCAACUGUGCUGGCCCCUUGAGCCACUGGUUCAGGGCGUGGAUGGAGCGACAGGAUGGACGACUAGACGCCUCUCCCAAAACUUAAGGGAAAAGUCCUCCAGGCAACAGGGAUUUGCACUGUGUCAGCCACUGCUCCCGACCUGGACUCAAGGAGACUCAGGAUGAUUGGACCUGGAAACUUCAGACAAGAUUAAGAAUCCCCUGGGACUGGAGUCUGAGACAGGCCUACCCCACUGAGCAGAAGGAGGGCCUAAUGACUCCCCAAGAAAUCUACUUUUUGCUUUCCUGAGUUCAACCAGUGGUAUUAAGUGGAACAAAAAGAACAACAACAACAAAAAAUACUAAAAGGAAUAAAAUGGUUUUGUGAGGUUGCCCCAAGGGACUGGAGCUGACCACAGAUAGUUGCUCUAGCUGUGUUCUACACAGGAGUGGUAAGUCUAUUAGAAAAAAUCUUUUGUUUCUUAUAGUAAUCUGUGUUUCACUGAUUUCCAGGAUGCAUGCUAAGGUUACAGUCCAGGGCACAUGGAUUUUGGAGUUACUCCAUCAUAAUCUGAUAAAUCCUAUUGCUUCAGCCAUCUGAUCUCAGUAUCAAUAGUCCAAUAGCCUCAAUUUUGAUGGGUGUGUUCUCCUAGAUUUUGACAAACAGCCACUGCUGAUAAUGAUUUACUAAUUACAAAUUAAUACACUAAUUACCACCUGCUGGACAUGUACCACUGCGGUAGACCCACACCAACUUAGCACAAGAAGUGCACCCAAAAGUGCACAUCUGGUUGGGGUUGCGAAUCCUGGGUUGUUAAGGCCUCGGGCAGGUUUCAGUGUUGGGUACCUGGUUCUCCUGUUAUUGAUAGCUGUGGCUGGCCCCUGCAUACACAAUGCUGUUUUAUGAAAUCUCCAAUUGCCAAAGUCAAGCUCCAACUACUCUUUAUGUAGUACUGGCCACUUAUGGGACCAGCCCCUAGAAGAUGAAGAUUUUAGAGUAUUCUAAAAGUGCCCUAAAGAAGAGGAGGGGAUAUUAAAGACUCCUUCCCCCUUGUUAUCAAAGGGUCAGGUGGGUCUAAAAAAAGCAAUAAUGACUAGGCCAUAAAGGCUAGUCCCAUUCCUAAGAUAAGAUAGUUGCAUGCCUUCUGAAAUUGCCUUUAAGUUAUAAUUCCUGUAUCUUAAAACAAUCUUACCUUAAAGUUGUGAUUUGUUAAUCCCUGAGGGCCCAAGAUAACAGUGUGCUCCUGGAAACUGCCUUGGUAUAUUCAGGGUAUAAGAGUAUGGAAAGACGGCUGGCGCUGCGGCUCAAUAGGCUAAUCUUCCACCUAGUGGCGCCGGCACACUGGGUUCUAGUCCCGGUCAGGGCGCCGGAUUCUUUCCCGGUUGCCCCUCUUCCAGGCCAGCUCUCUGCUGUGGCCUGGGAAGGCAGUGGAGGAUGGCCCAAGUGCUUGGGCCCUGCACCCCAUGGGAGACCAGGAUAAGUACCUGGCUCCUGUCAUCAGAUCAACGCGGUGUUCCGGUCGCAGCGCGCCAGCCAUGGUGGCCAUUGGAGCGCGAACCAAUGGCAAAAGGAAGACCUUUCUCUCUGUCUCUCUCUCUCACUAUCCACUCUGCCUGUCCAAAAAAAAAAAAAAAGUAUGGAAAGGCAAAGGAUUGGGGCUUGACUUUUAGUCUAGUCAAGCCUGCAUACAUAAAUAAACUGUGCCUUCCCUCCUCCUGAAGCAUUAAGUGCCUUUUGGUUUCUGUGGACUUUGUCCCUAACACACAGACAAUGAUCACCAUUCAUCCUUUUGACAGGGGAGCUGUGAUGUAUGUUUCAGUCUUGGGGAGUACCUUGCAUAAACUAGGUGCUCAAUAAAAAUUGUCAAAUAAAAUACUAUUAAUGUUUCUGGUAUUGAUGUAUUAUGUUUAUAUAUAAUUGACAUUUGCAUAACGUGAGUAUAAUAUCUCAACAGUUUUCUACAUUUUCUUUUUCAUUUUCAUUUUGUUUUCAGUAUUUCCCUAUAUUCUAACAAAGCAAUUUGAUGGUCUGUUGCCACUUCACUCUGCUAAGUGAAUCAAAUUUAGCUGAUUGGUAACAGAGCCCUGGUCUUUUUAGGUAUAAAGCGCUUUCCUUCAUUCCAUAAUAAUCUGACUGUGGUUUAAGUGAAUAAGAGAAAGCAAAAUGUCCUGGGUAGCUGUGCUCUGUCUUUUAUUGUUGCUCCACAAUUUGAUGGGAGUCAGUAGAUUGGUUGCCUUUCCACAAAGACCCUGCUCUGGAUGACGUCAAUUCAUAGAACUGAGAUUCUGGAAGGCGUCCUGCUAUUAUUUAGUCCAGUGGGAAAAAGCUAGGCAGGUGAGCUUGCUGCAUUGGAUUACUGACUUUGGCCAUGUAAGGAGGUCUGGGGGGUAUAAAGAAGAAAGCAGUAGAUGUGAACUUAGGGUCCCAAUGAGCAACACACUAUUGGAAUGAAGACAAGGAGACCAAUAUGCGUAAAGCAAGCUGGAUCUUACUGCAACGGCUUUGGUCUCCCCAAGUCCAGCUAAUACUUCUCUGAUGAUGGUUUCCAUGCUUCAUAUAUCCUAAAAGAAUUUACAUAGUUAAUGCAGAAAACAUUUCCUUUUAAACAGAAUUGUACAUAGAUCAUCUGGAUUGCUUUAUACCGGCAACUUGUUUAUCAUAUAGACAUGGUUGGAUGUGGACCUGUAGUUCUUCACUAAUCUCUUCCUGUAGGGUCUCCUGGAGGCUUUGGCUAGAUCUCAGGAGAACUUCUCUUCUAGUGCCAGCUCCACAAACCUUACUUAUUUUAUGCUCUUCGUUUGAGCUGGCUGAUUCCUCCAUUUUAAGAGGAAGGGUCAGGUUAAAUUAGUGGGUGGCACGGGGAGGUGGAGUCAGGAAGCAGCAUGGCUAAGGAGCCCCGUAUCCAGUACAGCCUCUACUCUUUCAGUUCUGAAUCAGAAUUUUAUUUUGGGUGAAUGGGAUUUUUUUUUCACUUUAACAGAGAGUUUGAAAUCCCAGUCUCUCAGAAAUAAAAGGAAGAUUGGUGAGAAAUGAAGUCAUACCACUGAAUAGGUUGGGCCAUCCUUAGAAGUACCAUGCACUUAGAACUAAUCUCUAAGUAGAUAGCUGGGGAGAAUGUUUGAUCAGUAAUGGGGAGUCUGCAGGAGUUGUAAUGUCAACACUGCAAUCUGACUAUUUCUUGAGAGAGGACUUGUGGGGCUGAAGAUGUAAUCCUAAUAACUGUUAAACCAUUUCUAAGGGAAGAUCAGUGAGGGCAAGUAAUCUGCUCCAGUGUAAUGGCAACAGUCCCAUGAAGUAACUCCUAGGUCAUAAUUCCAGUUGGUAUAGCAACAGUAGUUGCCUAGCAGCACAUAAGAGGAGUUUUCCUCUGCAAGUGAACCUCCACAUCACUUGAUAACAGCAGUGAUCAGACACUGGGAGCCAUAUCUGAAAUGAUAUCGUCUGAAAGGGGUUAAAUUACAGAACCUGUAAUUGUAAUUUCAGGGGAAGAAGAUAUGACCCUAAUUAGGUAAA
Oryctolagus cuniculus (rabbit) is the source of this 4844-nucleotide non-coding RNA. Lineage: Eukaryota; Metazoa; Chordata; Mammalia; Lagomorpha; Leporidae. The record is from RefSeq and is a predicted model, not a curated record.